Molecule: non-coding RNA, 711 nt
Filed under: Helobdella robusta
Lineage: Eukaryota; Metazoa; Annelida; Clitellata; Rhynchobdellida; Glossiphoniidae
Description: Eukaryotic small subunit ribosomal RNA
Rfam family: Eukaryotic small subunit ribosomal RNA
Source: Rfam by way of RNAcentral
AUUCUGGUUGAUCCUGCCAGUAGUCAUAUGCUUGACUCAAAGAUUAAGCCAUGCACGUGUCAGUACAAUCCCUAGCAUGGAAAAACUGCGGAUGGCUCAUUAGAUCAGUUAUGGUUCCUUAGAACGUACAUCCCAAGUGGAUAACCCUGGCAAUUCUAGAGCUAAUACAUGCACCGAAGCUCCGACCGCAAGGGACGAGCGCAGUUAUUGGACCGAACGCACCCCGGCGUCAAACCCGGGGCUGUUGAGGUGACUCUGGAUAACCAUGCGGAUCGCACGGCCUUUGCGCUGGCGACAAUUCUUUCGAAUGUCUGCCCUAUCAGAGUCGAUGGUAGUCGAGAAGGACUACCAUGCUGACAACGGGUAACGGGGAAUCAGGGUUUGAUUCCGGAGAGGGAGCCUGAGAAACGGCCACCACAUCCAAGGAAGGCAGCAGGCACGCAAAUUACCCACUCCUGACACAGGGAGGUAGUGACGAAUAAUAACAAUACGGGCGUCUUUCGAGGCCCCGUAAUUGGAAUGAGUGCAAUUUAAAUCCUUCAACGAGGAUCUAUUGGAGGGCAAGUCUGGUGCCAGCAGCCGCGGUAAUUCCAGCUCCAAUAGCGUAUAUUAAAGCUGUUGCAGUUAAAAACGCUCGUAGUUGGAUCCUAGUCUUCUGGGCGGGCGGUCCGCCUCGCUGGUGGACGUCUGCGUCGCCCAGGUCUGAGUGCG